Long non-coding RNA from Gambusia affinis (western mosquitofish), 355 nucleotides. RefSeq lists it as uncharacterized. The record is from RefSeq and is a predicted model, not a curated record. Lineage: Eukaryota; Metazoa; Chordata; Actinopteri; Cyprinodontiformes; Poeciliidae. The transcript is spliced from 3 exons.
AUGUCAUCACUCCAUCAGAAGAGUCGACUGCAUCAAUGUUGAGGUGACUGAAAGUUUCUUCUCUGCGGUUGCUGCUCUCCAGAAGAGGCCACUUUGUCAAGAACAAGGCAGGAGAUCAUGGGCUGGAAGAAGAGACUGUUUCCAUAGAAACCAGCAGAGGUGAAAGGUAAGAAUUCACAGUCAUGUUUUUAUUGUUUGUCUUUAUCUCAGACAGACUCACUUUUCCUUCCAACAACUUGUGGAUCAGAAGCUCCAUUGUGAAAGACAGAUUCACUUCUCUCUCCAGCCAGUGCAGCUUCCUGAUGGCAUCACCUCUUCAUACAUCAUGUUGUUUCAUUAAAGACAAAUCAAAGUG